UACGUAGGGGGCUAGCGUUAUCCGGAAUUACUGGGCGUAAAGGGUGCGUAGGUGGUUUCUUAAGUCAGAGGUGAAAGGCUACGGCUCAACCGUAGUAAGCCUUUGAAACUGGGAAACUUGAGUGCAGGAGAGGAGAGUGGAAUUCCUAGUGUAGCGGUGAAAUGCGUAGAUAUUAGGAGGAACACCAGUUGCGAAGGCGGCUCUCUGGACUGUAACUGACACUGAGGCACGAAAGCGUGGGGAGCAAACAGGAUUAGAUACCCCGUAGUCCCUGAGCGGGCU
RNAcentral lists this ribosomal RNA (282 nucleotides) under uncultured prokaryote. Its description in RNAcentral is "partial 16S ribosomal RNA". It matches the Rfam family "Bacterial small subunit ribosomal RNA", at positions 524 to 817 of the family's 1533-position model. The record is from RNAcentral.